Molecule: long non-coding RNA, 171 nt
Organism: Homo sapiens (human)
Lineage: Eukaryota; Metazoa; Chordata; Mammalia; Primates; Hominidae
Source: Ensembl
GCAAUCUCUGGAUAUCUUUCUGUGGUUUGUUAUAAUGGGAGAAGAAGAAGCACUCCCAUCUAGAUUGCUGUAUCAGAAUGGACUGUUAUGAUUGCAAAUGGCAGAAACCUAACUCAAUGCAACUAUAACAAUGAGGGAAAUGUCUUGGCAGCUCUUGAAAUCCAUGGAAGA